AUUGAACGCUGGCGGCAGGCCUAACACAUGCAAGUCGAGCGGAUGAAGGGAGCUUGCUCCUGGAUUCAGCGGCGGACGGGUGAGUAAUGCCUAGGAAUCUGCCUGGUAGUGGGGGAUAACGUCCGGAAACGGGCGCUAAUACCGCAUACGUCCUGAGGGAGAAAGUGGGGGAUCUUCGGACCUCACGCUAUCAGAUGAGCCUAGGUCGGAUUAGCUAGUUGGUGGGGUAAAGGCCUACCAAGGCGACGAUCCGUAACUGGUCUGAGAGGAUGAUCAGUCACACUGGAACUGAGACACGGUCCCGACUCCUACGGGAGGCAGCGGUGGGGAAUAUUGGACAAUGGGCGAAAGCCUGAUCCAGCCAUGCCGCGUGUGUGAAGAAGGUCUUCGGAUUGUAAAGCACUUUAAGUUGGGAGGAAGGGCAGUAAGUUAAUACCUUGCUGUUUUGACGUUACCAACAGAAUAAGCACCGGCUAACUUCGUG
Molecule: ribosomal RNA, 484 nt
Filed under: uncultured bacterium
Lineage: Bacteria
Description: partial 16S ribosomal RNA
Rfam family: Bacterial small subunit ribosomal RNA
Source: RNAcentral